CGACGCCGCGUGUGUGAAGAAGGCCUGCGGGUUGUAAAGCACUUUUAGUGGGGAAUGAAAAGCACAUCGCUAAUACCGGUGUGUCUUGACCUAACCCAAAGAAAAAGCACCGGCUAACUCUGUGCCAGCAGCCGCGGUAAUACAGAGGGUGCGGGCGUUAAUCGGAAUUACUGGGCGUAAAGCGUGCGUAGACGGUUAUUUAAGUCGGAUGUGAAAGCCCCGGGCUCAACCUGGGAAUUGCAUUCGAGACUGAAUAGCUAGGGUGCGGUAGAGGGAAGCGGAAUUUCCGGUGUAGCGGUGAAAUGCGUAGAUAUCGGAAGGAACAUCAGUGGCGAAAGCGGCUUCCUGGACCAGCACCGACGUUCAGGCACGAGAGCGUGGGGAGCAAACAGGAUUAGAUACCCUGGUAGUCCACGCCAUAAACGAUGAGGACUAGACGUUGGAGGGGUAAGCCUUUCAGUGUCGUAGCUAACGCGCUAAGUCCUCCGCCUGGGGAGUACGGCCGCAAGGUUG
RNAcentral lists this ribosomal RNA (513 nucleotides) under uncultured Pseudomonadota bacterium. Its description in RNAcentral is "bacterial SSU rRNA". It matches the Rfam family "Bacterial small subunit ribosomal RNA", at positions 392 to 896 of the family's 1533-position model. The record is from RNAcentral. Lineage: Bacteria; Pseudomonadati; Pseudomonadota.